UACGUAGGGAGCAAGCGUUGUCCGGAAUCAUUGGGCGUAAAGCGCGCGUAGGCGGCCCGAUAAGUCCGCUGUAAAAGUCAACGGCUCAACUGUUGAAAGCCGGUGGAUACUGUCGGGCUAGAGUACGGAAGAGGCAAGUGGAAUUCCUGGUGUAGCGGUGGAAUGCGCAGAUACCAGGAGGAACACCCAUAGCGAAGGCAGCUUGCUGGGACGUUACUGACGCUAAGGCGCGAAAGCGUGGGGAGCGAACAGG
RNAcentral lists this ribosomal RNA (253 nucleotides) under uncultured bacterium. RNAcentral describes it as "partial 16S ribosomal RNA". It matches the Rfam family "Bacterial small subunit ribosomal RNA", at positions 524 to 776 of the family's 1533-position model. The record is from RNAcentral.